ACCACCACUAAAGCGACAUUUUCAAAAAUACAUGGGAAAUUGCCAAAAAUACUAUUUUCAAGGUACCACUUUUCAUGUUUACAUAACCACCUUUACCCUCUUCUUUAAUGUAGGGUAAAAAACAUUUAUAACCUUUUGAUUACCUUUCACAAAAAAAAAACAUAAAGUUAACUAAUCUAAACUUAAAACAUCAACCCUAAACCAUGAAACAUCAACUCUAAACCCUAAACCCCGAAACAUCAACUCUAAACCCUAAACCCUAAACCUUCAAAUCAAAAACCUAAAACAUCAACUCUAAACCCUAAACGUAAACCCUAAACCCUAAAUCUAAAUUUAAAACAUCAACUUUAAACCCUAAAUCAUCAACUCAAAACCCUAAACACUGAAACAUCAACUCUAAACCCUAAACCUUCAAAUCAAAAACCUAAAACAUCAACUCUAAACCCUAAACGUAAACCCUAAACCCUAAACCUUAUAUUUUUCUGAAAUUCGAACCCUAAACCAUAAACCGUCAAAUCUAAACCCUAAAACAUCAACUCUAAACCCUAAACAUAAACCCUAAACCCUAAAUCUUCAAAUCUAAACCGUAAAACAUCAACUCUCGGGUUUUAGGGUUUAGGGUUUAGGAUUUAGGGUUUAGAGUUGAAGGUUUAGGGUUUAGGGUUUAGAGUUGAUGUUUUAGGGUUUAGGGUUAAUUUUUUAGGGUUUAGGGUUUAGAGUUUACUUUUUAGGGUUUAGGGUUUAGUGUUGAUAGUUUAGGGUUUAGUAAAAGUUUUUUGCCACUUAAUGAAGAAAGUAUUUUUGAAAAUAUCCCUUUAGUGGUGGUAUAAAUGAAAAGUGGUAGCAUGAAAGUGGUAAACAUGUAAUUUCCCCAAAAUAUAUUCUUCAUUAAGUGGCAAAAGACUCUUAUGCUAUUGUUCUUUAUAUAUAUAAUAAAUAAAUAAAAAAUCUAAAAAAAAUAAAAAAUAAUUUUUUUCGAAUUAUACUUUUUCGAAAUUCAAACCCUAAACCCUAAAACUCAACUCUAAACCCUAAACCAUCAAUCCCAAACCCAAUUUUUUUUAAAAAAUACAAACCCUAAACCCUAAACCAUCAAUCCUAAACCCUAUACUUUGUCUGAAAUACGAACCCUAAACUCCGAAACAUCAACUCUAAACCCUAAACCCCGAAACAUCAACUUUAAACCCUAAACCCUAAACCUUCAACUCUAACCCCUAAAACAUCAACUCUAAACCCUAAACCCUAAACCUCAACUCUAAACCCUAAACCAUCAACACUAAACCCUAAACUAUCAACAAUAAACCCUAAACCCUAAAAAGUAAACUUUAAACCCUAAACCCAAAAAAAUUAACCCUAAACCCUAAACUCUAAACCCUAAAUCCUAAACCCUAAACUCUAAACCCUAAAACCCUAGAGUUGAUGUUUUAGGGUUUAGAUUCAAAGGUUUAGGGUUUACCUGCAAUUUUUGCAGUAAAAUUCCACCAUUUCAACAUCUGUGAUCACCAUUGUAGUGAACUCACAACGCUUCCUGCAGAAAAUAUCAAAACAAAAAAAAAAGACCAUGACUAAACUAAGAGUAUGGUACACAGAACUUGACAGUGAUUAAUGGACAUUACGCAUCAGAUUGCAGUAACAUCUUAAUUAAGAUCACGAAGCUAGGAGUAAAGCCAGAAAUUCACAUAGCUUUUCUCAAUCAAAGUUGAAAUCUUUUUAGUAAUCCAAAAACACAUCAUAAUCACUCUUAUAUAUGAUUUAACUUCAGAGAGUGAGAGACAGAGAGGUGACCAGUGGUGAUUUAUUCUGGCUGGAACAAAGAACACACGGUUCGGAGAAGCGAUAUGGUGGUGACGAGCGAUGGUGGUGGUCGUGACGAGCGAUGUGGUGGUGGUGGUGGUGGUUGUGACGAGCGACGGUGUCAAAAAGAGGGUGGUCGUGAGGCUUCAAUCGACCUUCUCUAUUCUCUCCGUCUCUCUAGCUUCUCUGACUCAACGAGAUAUGUUCAGAUUUGAUAAAGAUAAUUAAAAAAAAAAUUAAAAAAUAACAAUUAACCUCAAGUGUUAAUUCAAUCAUCCAAUGGUUCAAAUGGGUGAUCCAUGCCAUAAAUAAUCCUAACCAAUAGAAAAAAAAGGUGAGGAUAGAUAGAAGAUUGAUUUUGGGCAUUUGAUCCAAAUCAAUCAAGGGUUCAAAAAAAAACAAUACAAAUUAUUUUUUAUAUAUUUAUAGUUAUGACAAAAAAAAUAUCCAAACAUUAAAUAAUUUGAUAUCAAAAUUUGAAAAUCUUAAAUCUAAAUUUUUUAUUUGAAUAUUGUUGUUGUGUGAUUGACUAAAAUAUUAAAAUAAUAAAAUUUAAAUGAGAAUCUCUCUUUUGUUUUGUAUUUUUCUUGUUUAUUAUUUGGUGGUUUAAUUAUAGUUUGUAAAUGUAUAAUUUGAAAUGUAGUAUAUAGUUUAGAGUAUUUUAUUUAAUUUAUAAAAAUUAUAAUUUAUUUAAAAAUUAUAAUUUAUUUAAAAAUUAAGAUUUAAUGUUUUAUUGUAUAGGUUACUAUGAGGUAUGUGGUUUAGGGUCAAGGGUUAUAGGGUCAAUAUUUGGAAUUAAGUAUAUGGGAGUUUUAGAAAAUACUUAGCUUAAGUUUCAUAUUUAUAUUAAAAGUUUGAAAGUAUUAGAUUUGUGACUUUGUAUGUAGUGUUUAAGUUUAGGGUUUAUGCAUUAUAUUUAGGGUGUAGAUUUAAGAUUUAAUGUUUGAUGUUUAGAAUUUAAAUUUGAAAUUAUAUUUUUUAAAUCACUAAGUUUAGAUUGAAGUUCUAUUAUUAAUAGAUUAAAGUUUAAAAAUGGAGAAAUUACAUGUUUACCACUUUCAUGCUACAACUUUUCAUUUUACCACCACUAAAGAGACAUUUUCAAAAAUACAUGGAAAAUUGCCAAAAAUAUCAUUUUCAAGGUACCACUUUUCAUGUUUACAUUAACCACUUUUACCCUCAUCUUUAAUGAAGGGUAAAAGACAUUUAUAACCUUUUGAUUACCUUUCACAAAAAAAAAAAACAUAUGGUUAACUAAUCUAAACUUAAAACAUCAACUCUAAACCCUAAAUCAUCAACUUUAAACCCUAAACCAUGAAACAUCAACUCUAAACCCUAAACCCGAAACAUCAACUCUAAACCCUAAACCCUAAAACUUCAAAUCAAAACCCUAAAACAUCAACUCUAAACCCUAAACGUAAACCC
RNAcentral lists this long non-coding RNA (3219 nucleotides) under Brassica napus (rape). RNAcentral's name for it is "long non-coding RNA (BNAP_LNC024984)". Lineage: Eukaryota; Viridiplantae; Streptophyta; Magnoliopsida; Brassicales; Brassicaceae. The record is from RNAcentral.